This 558-nucleotide small RNA is filed under the name Pongo abelii (Sumatran orangutan). Its description in RNAcentral is "processed transcript". The record is from RNAcentral. Lineage: Eukaryota; Metazoa; Chordata; Mammalia; Primates; Hominidae.
GGAGAAGUCAGCUCCAGGAAUGAAGUCACUGCUGACAUUUUACAAAUGUGGUUCAGAGCUGCUGCCUGCUGCCGUGUGGUCGGCCGGCGGUUCUCCAAGUUUGUUUAGUGAUCUCAAAAAUAAAAAAGGAAAGAAAUUCUCGAGAGACCACAUUGAGGUGACUAUAUCAAAUUGCAGAGUGAAUGGAAAUGCUAAAGGUGAUGGCUUGGACAACAGUGUAGCUUCCCCCAGCACAGGUGACGAUGAUGACCCUGAUAAGGACAAAAAGCGUCACAAAAAGCGUGGCAUCUUUCCCAAAGUAGCCACAAAUAUCAUGAGGGCGUGGCUGUUCCAGCAUCUAACACACCCUUACCCUUCUGAAGAACAGAAAAAGCAGUUGGCGCAAGACACGGGACUCACCAUCCUUCAAGUGAACAAUUGGUUUAUUAAUGCCCGGAGAAGAAUAGUGCAGCCCAUGAUAGACCAGUCCAACCGAGCAGUAAGUCAAGGAACACCUUAUAAUCCUGAUGGACAGCCCAUGGGAGGUUUCGUAAUGGACGGUCAGCAACAUAUGGGAAU